Mus musculus (house mouse) is the source of this 2869-nucleotide long non-coding RNA. RefSeq annotates it as predicted gene, 33998. The record is from RefSeq and is a predicted model, not a curated record. Lineage: Eukaryota; Metazoa; Chordata; Mammalia; Rodentia; Muridae. The transcript is spliced from 3 exons.
GAAGAGCUUUCUCCAUCUCUCCUAAGUCCCCUCCUCAGAGGUGACAGAGUUGGCGUAUGUGUUACAUCUCAUUCUAAAGUCCUCUGCAGCAGAAUGCCAGCUCGACGAGACAAGAUGGUUGUUCUGUCCCCCAUGUCUGGCUGGAAUGUGGCACCUACUGGAGGCUCUUUAAGGCUUGGGGAUUAUGUGGAGGGCUUGGGUAAAGUGGGUGAGCAUCUGCCCUCACACAGAGCCAAGCACACUCCAGUCUUGCCAGUCUGACUAUAUGGUACCCUCCAGCAUUCCUAUGAAUGAAGUACCUCAAUGAAGGAGGCCUUGCAUGAGAUGCACCAGACCCUCCCAAGGCUGGAAGGUAAGAUCAACACCCAUGAGUGCCCAGGCAGCAUAUGACAGACUCAGAAGGUUCUCUAGAGGACCACAGGUUGGCUACAGGUCUGUAGACACGCUACCUCUCCACUCACCGGCUCCCCAUCUAUGCACGGGUUUUGCGGUCCUCUGCCAGUCUCACCUGGGUAUCUAGACCUGCUUAGGCACAAUCUGUUUAAGACCAUUUGCCUUCCUGGAAGAGUGGCCGUCCCUGCAGCCCAAUGCCACAUAGCAUCUGGAUAUCCUAUUGCCCACGGCCUCAGCUGGGCCAGCCCUGGGCACAUAUGUGUCUCCGCCCAGGUGGAGCCUUCACGCUUGCCUUUCUAGGUGCUGUUUUUCAUGCCUGGCUGACAUCAGCUGGGUGUGCUUAAGCAGCCUGGAGUUUGAGAAGGCCUUGCUGCCUGGCUGGUGAGGACUCCUUCCUGACGGGCCCCACCCAGAGGAUCGUGUCACUCAAAGGAGGGGCUCAGUGCCAGCAUCUUCGUCUCAACAUCUGCUUCAAGGAGCCCUCUUCCGAGACAGUCAAUUAGUCUUCCAAACAGAUUCAAAAGGGGACUGAGAGUCAUACCUACCUAAGGUGGAGCUCAGAGACGCAAAACACUGACCAAAGGUCCCAAGACCUGAACUUGAACAUGUUCUACAACUGCUGCUACACCCUCCUGGUAAACCUGACAAAAUAAUCUUGGACUGUGAAGCUUUCUGUGACCCAGAGCCACCACAUUUCCCUGACCUGUGAGGCUAUCUGGAAGGGACCUAUUGUUUCUCCUAUCCCCUGUGGACUUUCCCCUGCUGUUACCUGUGACAAAGCCUUCGUUAUGCCACGCUGACAGCAUUUGGAGCACUGCAACUAUAAUACAACGUUGGCCUAGAGAAGAAGCCAUUUCAGACUCCUUUGUGGGCUGCAGAUGAGGAGAACGGCUGGCUCACAUCAUUUACUAACUGGGUCAUGCCAGCCCUUGACCAUGCUCCCAAAGGCCCUGCCUGGCACCGUGUCAGCCAGUCCUGUCUGUGCCUCGGGUUUAUGAGGAGGUAUUCCCUCCUCGAUAACAAUGUUCAGAAGGAGCUAAGUCGGGGCGGGUGGGCAGACCCAGAAUCCCCGCCUACAAGAGUGGCAUUUUCCCCUUAAGUCCUUGCAGAAUGAGUCUAUGUGGCUUCCCUACUAUGGCUUGGGUACUUGUGGCAUUGUUGAAAUGCCAAGCAGGGCUGGCACCCCUGCUUCCAGUAGCCCAACAGCCACUGCCCUCUUGGCAGCCCUGAGCUAUGUGCUGAGCAGGUGGCCCUUCCCACUCAAUCUGAGUCCAAGAAUGUUGUCAUCCGGUUGCCCAGGGCCUUUAUCAGUGUAGCCUUUCUUACGGUGGCUGGGACAAAGGGUGUGGGUGUCCUCAGGACUCUGGGGGAUUCUGGGAAUGUAUCUUUGCCUCCCCAAAAUUCCAGCUGUCCUAGCUGUAUGGAAUUCUCAUCCAUCUUGCUGAAGAGAUUUGAGACCUGUAGUGGGGGCAGGAUACAGUUCAGUUCCUAAGUGUUUUGUUAGACUUACUUAGAGUCUUCUUACCAUUUCUGAGUCAUGCAAUGAGAAGAAAGUUCUAGAUUACUACUCAGACGCCUAAGAGCUGGGUAUACAGCAUCAAGAGAUAGAGCGGCUUGGUAAGAGGACUGUGUCCUUCAAGCCUCAACCCUUUCUGACAAAGGUACCUUGUUGGAAAGCAGACCUGUUUUUACAAAGAUUCAAUCAAUUAAUCAAUAAAUUUAAAAAAUUUUUAAAUGUAUUUCUACAAGGAAACUAGUGAUAUUCAAAUGUUGGCGAUGAAUUCAAUUUUUAAAAAAAUUGAAAUUGUCUGCCAGAUUCAGCACAUGUGCUGACCAGAUGCAGGCUGGGGAUCACUACGUUAUGGCCCUGGCUCUCAGCCUGACUCUACAAAAGGGUACAGCCAGCCCACAUCUGAACCUAGGAACCACAGCCCCUCAUCUAGUGGUGGUGCAGCCUCGGGCUGGAGGUGACAGAACAUGGGUAAGCAGUUGAGGUCAGGCUUUGGCCUCCACUUGCCCAGACUUGUUAGUGAGAACUCCAAGGACUGUCUAGUUUCAGUGUAGGAACACCCACAGUGGUUAAACAAGCCAGCCGGGGAGCAGGAGGAAGGAGCUGAGAUCAGAGCAAGGAGUCCGCCCCAAGUCAUGCCAAACAGCCUGGGAGCAGGGUACACGCAGAGAUAGAUGGACAGUGGACGUAGCUCAGCCCCGUUUGUUCUGCCUCUCACGCUUUAAUGCUACAAAGUCUUACCAUCAUCAGCUCAUGUCUGGAGUCAGAGAGACCUGGAGGUAGGGAGUGACCAAACACUGCAGUCCUUAAGUGUUUGGGGGACUGGUUGGAGGGCCUAUGCAGACGCUCAAACUUACAGACGCUCAAGGCCCGAUGCACAUGCUCUCCCGGACUUCAAAGUUUGCCUAGAUUGCACAUAGCACCCAGCACAAUGUAAUCGUGCAAAUCGCUAUAUUAUUUAGGAUG